GUUCAUCACCGUCAGAGCGCUCUGACGCGAUACGGUGACAACACCGACCGACCCGUCGGUACACUCAGCCUCCGCCCAUCGCGUGCUUCCACAGAAACACCGACUGUGCGAUGCGUGACCUGUUGACGCUCGGUGCGCAGUGCUGCGCUUCUGUGCCUGCCACAAUGGACAACUGAACAUCCAACCUCAACAUGCCUACAGUUUAUUGGAAUAAGGGCAAGCUUGCGAGUAUUUGUAUUUGUAUGCUUCAGCACGCAUCCCAGGAUAUGACCCAGUCCUGGCCUUACCAGCAGCCCCCAGGGGAGGGGGGUACUCAACAUUUCCUGUACACACACUCAAAGGAGGAAAAACAGUCCAAUUUACGACACAGACAUGUGAGGGACGGCGUCUCUAUGAGGAUCCCCUCCCGUCCACUUGUGGCCCCUCACAAAUCCAUGCUUGCUGAUGACCUAAAGCUCAGCAGUGACGAGGACGACAGGGACGAGGGAAGUGAGCAAACAACAUCUUGGGCCGAUAAUGAGCGCUUGUCAGGCCAGCAGCAGCGCACACGCACACAUGGCGGACGGGUGAGACAUUCUAGCUCAGGGUCUUCGGGAUCAGACUCCUCUAGUGAGUGGGAAAGCAGCCCACGCAGGGGAUCACGCAGCCCAAGCCCAGAAACGCUCACCCAGUAUGGGUCACCAUCCCAACAGCAGAAACUAAACUGUAGCACCGAGACGGAGAGUCCACCCACCACACAGUGGCAGCUCGACAGGUGGCUUGACAAAGUCCCCAAAAAACUGACAGACCACGACCCUGGAGGGGGACAGCGUCGGGGUCCAAAAUCUGACAGUGGCCGAGGACCAUCACCAGGAAAGUACUGGAGCAGAGACUCGGAGUCAAGACGGGAUUACAGUCCAUGUGAAAGUCCUGUCCCUAGUCCAAAAUUUGACUAUAGCCCUAGAAACAGUCCUCGUGCCAGCCCUGAAUAUAGUCCUUGCCCCAGUCCAGGAAAUAGCCUUGUGCCAAGCCCAGUGCCAAGUGUGUGCCCAAGUCCAGGAGAGAGCUUUAGAGGUAGUCGAAGUCCCAGCCCUUUACCACUGCAUCCUCCCAGAAGCCCCAGUCCAAGUCUUUCAUCCAACGCAAUACCUACCCAAGAUUGUUUAACAUACCCUCAGGAUCGACCUACUCAGCCUGAAAGUCCCAGGCACACUGCACGACCAACUGUUGCCUCCAAUACACCGCAUCGUCCCAAAGUCAGGCCAUGGGUGCCUUCGGACCAUAACACUGAACAGAGAAAGGAGUCUAGAACUAAAGACUCUAGAUCCAGAGACACUAGACCUGGUCCUCCCCAAGAACAUCAUUCCAAACACAGCUUAACAAAUAAGUCACAGAAAGACCUCCGACACAAGCCUGAAGCCAAAGGUUCUGAAUCCAUAGCCAAGCAAAAGAUUAACCCAGCUUCAAACCCAAUACCCAAGCAUCAAUCUAACUCUAGACCAAGCCCAAAACCACCUAAGCACUUACCUGAACAUAGUAUUGAACAUAAUCACAGAACAAGAGAACCUACAGGAGUUUCAAUUCGGUCAACUUCCAAAUCAGGACAUUCAUCCCAUUUCAACACUUCAAAGAGCUCUGACCGUGGUCCCACAUCGAAAUCCAGAGACUCAUCCAGAAACGACGUGAGCAGUCGAUUCAGCCACAGCUCCAACUCUAGCUCUAAGUCUAAACCUUUCUGUGAUAGCAAACAAUCCAGUUUUAAACCAAGUUCUCAACAAAGUUCCAGCCCAAAGCCCAAGAUUAAACUCUGGGACACACCAGUUCCCAGAACUGGGCAUUCACAAAAAGAGUCAAACCCAAGAGACAGGGAGCGGGAGGUGGACAACCGAGGUAAAGCCCAGGGAGUGACACUGGUGCCAACCGGCAAAGAGCAGAGACACAGGAGACUGGCGGAGGAGCAGCUAACAAGGCGCCGUUGGGUUCGGAGUUCUGAGGAAGAGGAAGACGACAAAGACAGGAGAAGAGAGGAAGGGGAACGAGAGAGGAGAAGGAGGAGGGAGCAUGAAGCUGAAUGGCAACCAGUGCAGCCAAAGCAAAGACCUCAUACGAAUAGCCAGCAUCAACCUUCACAGGAAAGCAACGGACUGAACCUUGAAGAGCAGAGGAGGAAGAAGAGAAGGCAGAGUAAUGAGGACAUUUCUUUGCGUUCUCAUGUACUAGACUCCAGUCCAUCUCCUCCACUUUCUCCACCCUCCCCUACUCCUGUCAUCAAGCCCAAACAUUCAUCAUCUUCCUCAUCCUCAUCUUCCUCAUCUUCUUCGUCAUCUUCCUCUGAUUCAGAAUCAGAGUCUAGUCCUCCACGAAAUGUUGCCAAAGUCCCUGCAGAUUCAACAUCAAGCCAAAAGAGGCACAACAAACAGAGCACAGGUACUAGUGGUCACUCCAACAAGUCAAGUUUAAGCACCCCAGAGACAGAUAAGCGAGGUCGGGGCAGGCACAAACUCUACACCUUGGUUCCUUUCGGGCGUACUGAACAUUCUCCGACCAUCUCGCAUCGAGGCCUAAGAAAUCUGGUCGUGAGAAUAGACCUCUCGCUUCUGGCCAGAGUCCCUGAUACAAAUGAGAUUCCAGAGAAACAGUCCUCAUCUUCAUCUUUAUCAUCAGGAAAAACAAAAGAAAAGACAUCAAUGAGACAUCUGCACCAUUCAGAGCAACUGCCUAGUGAUGGCAGAAGUAAAAGAAAAGCGGAUAAUGGAGAAGCUCAGAGGGACAAUAAGAGAACUCGCACAGAAAAGCUUCCCGUCACAAUCAACAGAGAGACUGAAGAAACUUGCUCUGACAUCAAACAAAAUGGAUGUCAAGAAGAUUAUUUUUACUCCAAGAGGCCUUUGUCCCCAUUAUCUCCUCCAUCUGACCUAGUAGAGCGCUCAAAGCCCUCAGUGAAACCUCAGCAUACUGAAAAGUACCACACACCUUUAGAGAAAGACAGAGAUUCAACAACACAGAAAAUACAGGUCCAAAAAAUGCAGCCCAAGGUAGAGAAGGAGUGUGUUGGGCUUUCAGGACAUCCACAGCAUCUCUCUGGAUCCCGAGUUCCUCCUACAAACCUGCCUCUGCACUACAGAGGAACUGUACCUAUCAGUGAAGACUCUCAUCAUGCUGAGUACUACAUGCAUGAGGCCAAAAGGUUGAAACAUCGAGCAGAUGCUAUGGUGGAUAAGUUAGGAAAAGCUGUAAAUUAUGUGGAUGCUGCUUUGUCCUUUAUGGAGUGUGGGAAAGCAAUGGAAGAGGGACCACUUGAAUCCAAGUCUCCUUAUGCCAUGUAUGCUGAAACUGUGGAGCUCAUCAGGUACGCAAUGAGACUCAAAAGUCAUGCAGGUCCUGGAGCCAGUCAGGAGGAUAAACAGCUUGCUGUACUAUGUUUCCGCUGUCUUGCACUCCUUUAUUGGCAAAUGUUUAGACUCAAGAAGGACAACGCUUUAAAAUACUCUAAAGUCCUACUAGACUAUUUUAAGGGUUCUCCAAAAGCACCACACAAACCCCCUCCCUGGAACGAUUCUGGAAAGGGAGCUGUACCUCCUGCUUCUAUUUGUUCUGUCAAUAUAAUGGGAUCUCAUCCAGGCAGCUCACCAAGCAGUGUCAUUAGCAUUCCCCAUCGUAUCCACCAGAUGGCAGCAAACCACCUGAAUAUCACCAACAGUGUGCUGUACAGUUACGAGUACUGGGAGGUGGCUGAUACCCUGGCCAAGGAAAAUAAAGAAUUUUUUAACUAUCUGAACACACUGACUGGACCUUUGACUCUGCACAGCAGCAUGGCUCAUAUCGUCCAGUACACCAGGCAGGGGCUUCAGUGGAUCCGGAUCAGUGCUAAUCUAUCAUAACACUGUAACAGACACUCAAACAUCCCACAUCAACAACGCCAAAAUAACAAAACAUUGUACAGUUAUUUGAAGUCUGUGACCAACAGAUCUGAAUCAAGACUGCACUAAGUUAUUAUGUCAAGACUGGGAUUUAUAAGUGGACAUCUAUGACUUUCCUCACCCUACUUCCUACUAAAGAUGGACCGUUACAGAACACAACACACAUGCCUCCCAAAAAUCCUAUAUAAUUCAACCAACCAGAGGAUGACUUUGAAGCUGCCGAAGUGUUUCCAGUUAAGUGUGCCGUAUGGAUUAUUAGACGUUCAGCCAACAGCCCAUGGGCAUGACAUCUGAGAAUACAUGCUACCAAGCAUUAAAAGUGAUAAAAUCCAAGAUCACCUUCAUGUCAAAAACAGUCAUGUUUUGUUUAUUGCAAUCAAGACGGACAAAAUGAAACAAUCUUGGCCAUCCAGUUCUUAAGUACUUCUUUUUCAAUUUUUUAUUUGCUGCAAGUUUUCUAAAGGAACUUUGCUGGCUAAUUCUUGAAAUGCUGCUUUUCCAAAAUGUGCCACAUUUUUAUAUAAGAUAUAAUAAAAAUUCUUGUGUUUCUAUGUUUUUAAUGAGUCUUUUCAAAUCAGUACAUGGAGUAUCUUUAAAACACUCUUGAUGUGGCUGAAGUUCUUUGUACAAUAUGUCAUGUAGAUGUUAUGGUGCUGUUUUUAAAUAGUCAGCAAAAUGUCAUGUACUCAGUCUAUGCAAGACAAUUUAUGACGUUGUGAAGUUGUUGUAAAGCUUGUACUGUAAAAAGAGAACAUAAUCAGGCUUUUUUAAUUAAAGUGUUUUACUGUAGAUUGUUGCAGUGUUUGUGAUGUUGACAAUGAUGAAGUUUGUGGUCUUUAUAAAUCACAGCAAUCCAUUAUGAUUUGAAGACCUGCUGAUUAAGAUUUUAAUUUCUUUUUAUAUUCAAGCAAUCCAUCAUUAGCUACAGAUAAACAGAGACGUCAUGAUGGAUGAGCAAAAUUUUUUAUGAUCGCUGUCAAGGUACAUCUUUAUUUAUCUUUGUUUAUUUAUGUGUGAUAUUUACUGCAAUGCCUAUGUGGAAUUAUGGAUCCCUAAAACCUUUCUUAAAAUUUCCAAAGUAUUAUAUUUUUUGCCACAAUGUCAACUGUUACUACAAUAAAUCUAUGCGAAUGCGACAAAGAACAUGUGCACGUGCAUGACAGACAAAUGUACAACGAGGUAUUUGCCUUAUAUAGUCAUGCUUAGUUCCGUCAUACAGUCAUCAACAGUCAACAUUAAAGUUCAUAAUGUAUUAGUCAUAUCGAAUUACUAACAACAACAUUACUAUAAACUUAUUUUAAUGAAGUAACCAGAAAUUAUCGAAAACUUACCUCAUAAUUUACCACAGAAACGAAAACUGUCGUCUGAGGAGAGCAUCAGUUAAAUCCAGAAUGCCCGCUGUUUGAACUCAUGAGGCGCGUGCCCGCAAAUAAAAGGUGGGUUCGACUUCAUGCGGCGCUACAAGAACCGACACGCCGAUGACGUCGAAGUACCGCGAGAUCGAUUCAAAAUUAGACUUCCACUUGUGAUUUCUCGACUCGCUCUCGCGGUACGUUGACGUCAUUCCCUUGUCGGUUCUCGCAGCACCCCAUGAAGUCGAAGAAGCCUAAUAAAACAUAACGAAAUACCAUAUGUAAAAACAAAAUAAAGAUGGGAAAGAAGUGCUUCUCCAAGCGAAGCACUGCGUCCAGACGGAACCGAAAAUGACUCAAUUAGAACUCGUUCAACAUGAAAUAUUUCUUUUAUUAAAAUAAACAGAAAUAU
Molecule: non-coding RNA, 5663 nt
Organism: Paramisgurnus dabryanus
Lineage: Eukaryota; Metazoa; Chordata; Actinopteri; Cypriniformes; Cobitidae
Source: RefSeq, a predicted model, not a curated record